This 247-nucleotide ribosomal RNA is filed under the name uncultured bacterium. RNAcentral describes it as "partial 16S ribosomal RNA". It matches the Rfam family "Bacterial small subunit ribosomal RNA", at positions 523 to 769 of the family's 1533-position model. The record is from RNAcentral.
AUACGUAGGGGGCAAGCGUUGUCCGGAAUUAUUGGGCGUAAAGCGCGCGCAGGCGGUCUGGAAAGUCGGAUGUGAAACCUCGGGGCUCACCCCCGAGCCUGCAUACGAAACUUCCAGACUUGAGAGUAAGAGAGGGGAGUGGAAUUCCUAGUGUAGCGGUGAAAUGCGUAGAUAUUAGGAGGAACACCAGUGGCGAAGGCGACUCCCUGGCUUACCACUGACGCUGAGGCGCGAAAGCGUGGGUAGC